UACGAAGGGGGCUAGCGUUGUUCGGAAUCACUGGGCGUAAAGCGCACGUAGGCGGAUCAGUAAGUCAGGGGUGAAAUCCCGGGGCUCAACCUCUGAACUGCCUUUGAUACUGCUGGUCUCGAGUCCGGGAGAGGUGAGUGGAAUUCCUAGUGUAGAGGUGAAAUUCGUAGAUAUUAGGAAGAACACCAGUGGCGAAGGCGGCUCACUGGCCCGGUACUGACGCUGAGGUGCGAAAGCGUGGGGAGCAAACAGG
This 253-nucleotide ribosomal RNA is filed under the name uncultured bacterium. Its description in RNAcentral is "partial 16S ribosomal RNA". It matches the Rfam family "Bacterial small subunit ribosomal RNA", at positions 524 to 776 of the family's 1533-position model. The record is from RNAcentral.